CCUACGGGCGGCAGCAGUGGGGGAUAUUGCACAAUGGGGGAAACCCUGAUGCAGCGACGCCGCGUGGGUGAAGAAGCGCCUCGGCGCGUAAAGCCCUGUUUGCAGGGAAGAAAAUGACGGUACCUGAAGACGAAGCCCCGGCUAACUACGGGCCAGCAGCCGCGGUCCUACGUAGGGGGCCAGCGUUAUCCGGAUUUCCUGGGUUUAAAGGGGGCGCAGACGGCGAUGCAAGCCAGGCGUGAAAGCCCGGGGCCCAACCCCGGGACUGCUCUUGGAACUGCGUGGCUAGAGUGCAGGAGGGGCAGGCGGAAUGCCUGGUGUAGCGGUGAAAUGCGUAGAUAUCAGGAGGAACACCGGUGGCGAAGGCGGCCUGCUGGACUGCAACUGACGUUGAGGCCCGAAAGCGUGGGGAGCAAACAGGAUUAGAUACCCUUGUAGUC
Molecule: ribosomal RNA, 440 nt
Filed under: uncultured bacterium
Lineage: Bacteria
Description: partial 16S ribosomal RNA
Rfam family: Bacterial small subunit ribosomal RNA
Source: RNAcentral